Molecule: ribosomal RNA, 164 nt
Filed under: uncultured bacterium
Lineage: Bacteria
Description: partial 16S rRNA
Rfam family: Bacterial small subunit ribosomal RNA
Source: RNAcentral
UAGGAAAUCUUCCACAAUGGACGCAAGUCUGAUGGAGCAACGCCGCGUGAGUGAAGAAGGUCUUCGGAUCGUAAAACUCUGUUGUUAGAGAAGAACACGAGUGAGAGUAACUGUUCAUUCGAUGACGGUAUCUAACCAGCAAGUCACGGCUAACUACGUGCCAA